GAUGAACGCUGGCGGCGUGCCUAAUACAUGCAAGUCGAGCGAACGGACGAGAAGCUUGCUUCUCUGAUGUUAGCGGCGGACGGGUGAGUAACACGUGGAUAACCUACCUAUAAGACUGGGAUAACUUCGGGAAACCGGAGCUAAUACCGGAUAAUAUUUUGAACCGCAUGGUUCAAAAGUGAAAGACGGUCUUGCUGUCACUUAUAGAUGGAUCCGCGCUGCAUUAGCUAGUUGGUAAGGUAACGGCUUACCAAGGCAAGAUGCAUAGCCGACCUGAGAGGGUGAUCGGCCACACUGGAACUGAGACACGGUCCAGACUCCUACGGGAGGCAGCAGUAGGGAAUCUUCCGCAAUGGGCGAAAGCCUGACGGAGCAACGCCGCGUGAGUGAUGAAGGUCUUCGGAUCGUAAAACUCUGUUAUUAGGGAAGAACAUAUGUGUAAGUAACUGUGCACAUCUUGACGGUACCUAAUCAGAAAGCCACGGCUAACUACGUG
Molecule: ribosomal RNA, 496 nt
Filed under: uncultured bacterium
Lineage: Bacteria
Description: partial 16S ribosomal RNA
Rfam family: Bacterial small subunit ribosomal RNA
Source: RNAcentral